UCCCUUCCCCUAUUUGCAGGUUGCAGCCCAUCGUGAGGACGCCGUUGGUCUCCGCUCCGCUCACCCCUUGCUCCCCAAUCAAGUUUCAGUCCCUCAGCUCCCUGUGCAAUCUGCCACGUCUCCAGAGCUCAACCAAGCCCAGGAUCCUUACAGGGGCAUGGCUGCAGGUUUGCAAGGCCAGAGCGUCUCAUCUGGGAGUUCGGAGCUGAAAUCGGACGACGAAGGCGACGAGAAUUUGCAAGAAUCGAAAUGCAGCGAGGACAAAAAGCU
This is a non-coding RNA of Meleagris gallopavo (turkey), 270 nucleotides long. The record is from RefSeq and is a predicted model, not a curated record. Lineage: Eukaryota; Metazoa; Chordata; Aves; Galliformes; Phasianidae.